This 253-nucleotide ribosomal RNA is filed under the name uncultured bacterium. RNAcentral's name for it is "partial 16S ribosomal RNA". It matches the Rfam family "Bacterial small subunit ribosomal RNA", at positions 524 to 776 of the family's 1533-position model. The record is from RNAcentral.
UACGAAGGGGGCUAGCGUUGCUCGGAAUCACUGGGCGUAAAGGGUGCGUAGGCGGGUCUUUAAGUCAGGGGUGAAAUCCCGGAGCUCAACUCCGGAACUGCCUUUGAUACUGGCGAUCUUGAGUCCGGGAGAGGUGAGUGGAACUGCGAGUGUAGAGGUGAAAUUCGUAGAUAUUCGCAAGAACACCAGUGGCGAAGGCGGCUCACUGGCCCGGUACUGACGCUGAGGUGCGAAAGCGUGGGGAGCAAACAGG